UACGGGGGGGGCAAGCGUUGUUCGGAAUUACUGGGCGUAAAGGGCUCGUAGGCGGCCAACUAAGUCAGACGUGAAAUCCCUCGGCUUAACCGGGGAACUGCGUCUGAUACUGGAUGGCUUGAGUUUGGGAGAGGGAUGCGGAAUUCCAGGUGUAGCGGUGAAAUGCGUAGAUAUCAGGAGGAACACCAAUGGCGAAGGCAGCACUCUGGGACGGUACUGACGCUGAGACGCGAAAGCGUGGGGAGCAAACAGG
This 253-nucleotide ribosomal RNA is filed under the name uncultured bacterium. RNAcentral's name for it is "partial 16S ribosomal RNA". It matches the Rfam family "Bacterial small subunit ribosomal RNA", at positions 524 to 776 of the family's 1533-position model. The record is from RNAcentral.